GAUGAACGCUGGCGGCGUGCCUAAUACAUGCAAGUCGAGCGAAGAGACGAGGAGCUUGCUCCUCUGACGUUAGCGGCGGACGGGUGAGUAACACGUGGAUAACCUCCCUAUAAGACUGGGAUAACUUCGGGAAACCGGAGCUAAUACCGGAUAAUAUAUUGAACCGCAUGGUUCAAUAGUGAAAGACGGUUUUGCUGUCACUUAUAGAUGGACCCGCGCCGCAUUAGCUAGUUGGUAAGGUAACGGCUUACCAAGGCAACGAUGCGUAGCCGACCUGAGAGGGUGAUCGGCCACACUGGAACUGAGACACGGUCCAGACUCCUACGGGAGGCAGCAGUAGGGAAUAUUCCGCAAUGGGCGAAAGCCUGACGGAGCAACGCCGCGUGAGUGAUGAAGGUCUUCGGAUCGUAAAACUCUGUUAUUAGGGAAGAACAAAUGUGUAAGUAACUAUGCACGUCUUGACGGUACCUAAUCAGAAAGCCACGGCUAACUACGUG
This 497-nucleotide ribosomal RNA is filed under the name uncultured bacterium. RNAcentral's name for it is "partial 16S ribosomal RNA". It matches the Rfam family "Bacterial small subunit ribosomal RNA", at positions 28 to 507 of the family's 1533-position model. The record is from RNAcentral.